This 491-nucleotide ribosomal RNA is filed under the name uncultured bacterium. RNAcentral's name for it is "partial 16S ribosomal RNA". It matches the Rfam family "Bacterial small subunit ribosomal RNA", at positions 28 to 506 of the family's 1533-position model. The record is from RNAcentral.
GAUGAACGCUAGCUACAGGCUUAACACAUGCAAGUCGAGGGGAAACGACAUCGCAAGCUUGCUUUUGAUGGGCGUCGACCGGCGCACGGGUGAGUAACGCGUAUCCAACCUGCCCAUCACUUGGGGAUAACCUUGCGAAAGUAAGACUAAUACCCAAUGAUAUCUCUAGAAGACAUCUGACAGAGAUUAAAGAUAUGUCGGUGAUGGAUGGGGAUGCGUCUGAGUAGCUUGUUGGCGGGGUAACGGCACACCAAGGCCACGAUCAGUAGGGGUUCUGAGAGGAAGGACCCCCACAUUGGAACUGGGACAAGAUCCCAACGCGAACGGGAGGUAGGAGUUAUGAAGAUUGGUCAAUGGGCGUGAUCCUGACCCAGCCAAGGAGUGAGCAGGAUGACCGCCUUAUGGAUUGUAAUCUGUUUUUAUAAGGGAAAAUAGGGUGAGUCGUUACUCUUUUUGCAUGAACCUUAGGAAUAAGGACCGGUUAAUUCCGU